RNAcentral lists this transfer RNA (75 nucleotides) under Nanoarchaeum equitans Kin4-M. RNAcentral's name for it is "tRNA-Glu (TTC) (tRNA-Glu-TTC-1-1)". It matches the Rfam family "tRNA". Rfam says of the family: Transfer RNA (tRNA) molecules are approximately 80 nucleotides in length. The record is from RNAcentral. Lineage: Archaea; Nanobdellati; Nanobdellota; Candidatus Nanoarchaeia; Nanoarchaeales; Nanoarchaeaceae.
GCCCCCGUGGUGUAGCCAGGUCUAGCAUACGGGGUUUUCGUCCCCGUGACCCGGGUUCAAAUCCCGGCGGGGGCA